This is a long non-coding RNA of Orcinus orca (killer whale), 962 nucleotides long. RefSeq lists it as uncharacterized. Lineage: Eukaryota; Metazoa; Chordata; Mammalia; Artiodactyla; Delphinidae. The record is from RefSeq and is a predicted model, not a curated record. The transcript has 5 exons.
AUAGGAACUUUGUAGGAAAGCACAAAGAGGCUGCAGAGAUUACAACCACCACCUUAUCUGCUGCCGGAGAGUUUGUGUGCGUGUUUUUUUAAGUGUUUCGCCCAGCUCCUCCUUCCCCCACUACAAACAGCAAACACAUGAGUGAGCUAAUCAGCUCUUAAACUGAAAAACCUUUCGAUACAGGCGAGUGAUAGAAGAUAAAGCUGAGGGGCGGCAGGAGGAUCAAAUAAAAGUUGCUCCGCAGUUUGCUCAUCCAAGCCCCGCAGCGACCGCAGGGGAGUGAGGUUCCCAAAGCCGCUUUCACACCUUCGAUAAUGCACUAGCAAAGAGAAGCCCGGAGAGGCUGAAGUUUCCACGGAGGGCACCGUCGGGGAGACGCAGCCCGGGAGGACAGAAAAGUUGGGCUCGCUACCUCUGCACACGGGCGAGCCGGGGCUCCGUCGCUCAGGAAAAGAAGAUGUCCUUAAUAAGCAGCUUUGACCGAGAACUCUUACUUCAAUGGUGGAAGAUUUCUGGGAAAGAGGAGGAAGAGGCUAAAAAUAUUUUAAAGAAUCUUUUAGGCUUGACGAAAAGGGAUUCCCUAGAAAGGAUUUAUGUUUGCUUCUGCCUGAGCCUGAGGACACUACCAACCCAGGAAAAUUUAAGUCCCCUAGGUGAGAGGACAGAUGUUUCGACAAACCAUGAUCAGAUGUGAUGCUCUGGGAUCAACUAAUUAAGAGAUCUUAAACUUAAAUAAUCCAAGGCAGAGUUUCCAUUAGCAGCACUGGGAAAAGCUUAGCAUUUAGGAAGUCACUCCUGCCUGCCAUACCCUGAUUUUCAGCAGAUCACCUGUUCUCCUGAUACCUAGGCACCUAUUUGCAUAGCAAGAGUGGAAGUUACUAUUUAUCCUCAGCGGUAUACAUAAUCACAUUGACUUAUUCGGUUUUACCCCAAAAGGACUCAUUGAGUUUCACUUACCUCCA